CCCUUAGAUGUCCUGGGCCGCACGCGCGCUACACUGAUGCAUGCAACGAGUUUAUAACCUUGGCCUGAAAGGUCUGGGUAAUCUUUUGAACGUGCAUCGUGAUAGGGAUAGAUUAUUGCAAUUGUUAAUCUUGAACGAGGAAUUCCUAGUAAACGCGAGUCAUCAGCUCGCAUUGAUUACGUCCCUGCCCUUUGUACACACCGCCCGUCGCACCUACCGAUUGGGUGUGCUGGUGAAAUGUUCGGAUCGGCCGUUUGUCGCGGUUUCCGCGGCUCGUGGCUGAGAAGUUCAUUAAACCCUCCCACCUAGAGGAAGGAGAAGUCGUAACA
Molecule: ribosomal RNA, 329 nt
Filed under: uncultured eukaryote
Lineage: Eukaryota
Description: partial 18S ribosomal RNA
Rfam family: Eukaryotic small subunit ribosomal RNA
Source: RNAcentral